GCGGAAGUGGCGAAAUGGGUAGACGCACCAGAUUUAGAUUCUGGCACCUCUAUUGGUAUACGAGUUCAAAUCUCGUCUUCCGCA
Molecule: transfer RNA, 84 nt
Rfam family: tRNA
About the family: Transfer RNA (tRNA) molecules are approximately 80 nucleotides in length. Their secondary structure includes four short double-helical elements and three loops (D, anti-codon, and T loops). Further hydrogen bonds mediate the characteristic L-shaped molecular structure. tRNAs have two regions of fundamental functional importance: the anti-codon, which is responsible for specific mRNA codon recognition, and the 3' end, to which the tRNAs corresponding amino acid is attached (by aminoacyl-tRNA synthetases). tRNAs cope with the degeneracy of the genetic code in two manners: having more than one tRNA (with a specific anti-codon) for a particular amino acid; and 'wobble' base-pairing, i.e. permitting non-standard base-pairing at the 3rd anti-codon position.